CAGGCCUAACACAUGCAAGUCGAGGGGCAUCAUGAAGUUUGCUUGCAAACUUUGAUGGCGACCGGCGCACGGGUGAGUAACGCGUAUCCAACCUUCCCUAUAGUAGAGGAUAGCCCGGCGAAAGUCGGAUUAAUACUCUAUGUUUUCCGUUGCAGACAUCUAAGAUGGAACAAAGGCUUGCCGCUAUAGGAUGGGGAUGCGUCUGAUUAGGUAGUCGGCGGGGUAACGGCCCACCGAGCCAUCGAUCAGUAGGGGUUCUGAGAGGAAGGUCCCCCACAUUGGAACUGAGACACGGUCCAAACUCCUACGGGAGGCAGCAGUGAGGAAUAUUGGUCAAUGGGCGCGAGCCUGAACCAGCCAAGUAGCGUGCAGGAUGACGGCCCUAUGGGUUGUAAACUGCUUUUAUGCGGGGAUAAAGUUCACUACGUGUAGUGUUUUGUAGGUACCGCAUGAAUAAGGACCGGCUAAUUCCGUGCCAGCAGCCGCGGUAAUACGGAAGGUCCGGGCGUUAUCCGGAUUUAUUGGGUUUAAAGGGAGCGCAGGCCGGAGGUCAAGCGUGACGUGAAAUGUAGCCGCUCAACGGCUGAACUGCGUCGCGAACUGGCUUUCUUGAGUGAGUUCGAUGUGGGCGGAAUUCGUGGUGUAGCGGUGAAAUGCUUAGAUAUCACGAAGAACUCCGAUUGCGAAGGCAGCCCACAAGGCCUUUACUGACGCUAAAGCUCGAAGGUGCGGGUAUCGAACAGGAUUAGAUACCCUGGUAGUCCGCACGGUAAACGAUGGAUGCCCGCUGUUUGCGAUAUACUGUGAGCGGCCAAGAGAAAUCGUUAAGCAUCCCACCUGGGGAGUACGCCGGCAACGGUGAAACUCAAAGGAAUUGACGGGGGCCCGCACAAGCGGAGGAACAUGUGGUUUAAUUCGAUGAUACGCGAGGAACCUUACCCGGGCUUGAACUGCAGGAGAAGGAUACAGAGAUGUUGACGCCCUUCGGGGCUCCUGUGGAGGCGCUGCAUGGUUGUCGUCAGCUCGUGCCGUGAGGUGUCGGCUUAAGUGCCAUAACGAGCGCAACCCUUUUCUUCAGUAGCCAGCAGUUCGGCUGGGCACUCUAGGGAGACUGCCAGGGUGAACCUGGAGGAAGGUGGGGAUGACGUCAAAUCAUCAUGCCCCUUAUGACUUGGGCUACACACGUGCUACAAUGGCGUAAACAAAGAGAAGCGAACUUGUGAGAGUGAGCAAAUCUCAAAAAUAACGUCUCAGUUCGGAUUGUAGUCUGCAACUCGACUACAUGAAGCUGGAAUCGCUAGWAAWCGCAGAUCAGAAUGCUGCGGUGAAUACGUUCCCGG
Molecule: ribosomal RNA, 1340 nt
Filed under: uncultured rumen bacterium
Lineage: Bacteria
Description: bacterial SSU rRNA
Rfam family: Bacterial small subunit ribosomal RNA
Source: RNAcentral